Molecule: long non-coding RNA, 742 nt
Filed under: Rattus norvegicus (Norway rat)
Lineage: Eukaryota; Metazoa; Chordata; Mammalia; Rodentia; Muridae
Description: long non-coding RNA NONRATT026300
Source: RNAcentral
CGAACAGGAAGAGGACGAGAAAAAUAACCGUCCGCGACGCCGAGUGGAAGUGGAUUAGAGCCACCAUGAACAGCAAAGGUCAAUAUCCAACACAGCCUACCUACCCUGUGCAGCCUCCUGGGAAUCCAGUAUAUCCUCAGACCUUACAUCUUCCUCAGGCUCCACCCUAUACUGAUGCUCCACCUGCAUACUCAGAGCCUCCACCUCCUGGAUGCCCUCCCAACGCUGCUCAGCUUGCAGUCAUGCAGGGAGCCAACGUCCUUGUAACUCAACGCAAGGGAAACUUCUUCAUGGGUGGCUCAGAUGGUGGCUACACUAUUUGGUGAGGAGCUGUGGCCACUCCUGUGCCGGGGAAGACAUCACAUACUUCAGCACUUCUCACAAUGUAACUGCUUUAGUCAUAUUAACCUGAAGUUGCCGUUUAGACACAUGUUUUUGGGGUGUCUUUCUGGUGUCCAAACUUUGAGGCACUUUUCAAAUUUAAUAAGGAACCAUGUAAGGGUAGCAGUCCCUCCCUAAAGCAUUCUGAGGUAGGGAGGUGUCCAUUCUUCAAAUGAAUGUGAGGGAAGCGGCCCCAAGGCUCUUCCUUAAUUCCUCUGGAGUGAUACUGUGCCAUGCUGGUCUUUGCUUCUAGGAAUGAAACAUCAAAUUAGGUUUGGAGGGAACUUUGAUCUUCCUAAGAAUUAAAGUUGCCAAAUUAUUCUGAUUGGUCUUUAAUCUCUUUUAAGUCUCUGAUUUAUCU